RNAcentral lists this ribosomal RNA (300 nucleotides) under Shigella flexneri. RNAcentral describes it as "bacterial SSU rRNA". It matches the Rfam family "Bacterial small subunit ribosomal RNA", at positions 368 to 659 of the family's 1533-position model. The record is from RNAcentral. Lineage: Bacteria; Pseudomonadati; Pseudomonadota; Gammaproteobacteria; Enterobacterales; Enterobacteriaceae.
ACAAUGGGGGCAACCCUGAUCCAGCCAUGCCGCGUGUGUGAAGAAGGCCUUUUGGUUGUAAAGCACUUUAAGCAGGGAGGAGAGGCUAAUGGUUAAUACCCAUUAGAUUAGACGUUACCUGCAGAAUAAGCACCGGCUAACUCUGUGCCAGCAGCCGCGGUAAUACAGAGGGUGCGAGCGUUAAUCGGAAUUACUGGGCGUAAAGCGAGUGUAGGUGGCUCAUUAAGUCACAUGUGAAAUCCCCGGGCUUAACCUGGGAACUGCAUGUGAUACUGGUGGUGCUAGAAUAUGUGAGAGGGA